AAUUCGAUGAUACGCGAGGAACCUUACCUGGCUUAAAUGUAGAGUGCAUUUUUUAGAGAUAGAAAUUCCCUUCGGGCUUUCUGCAAGGUGCUGCAUGGUUGUCGUCAGCUCGUGCCGUGAGGUGUCGGGUUAAGUCCCAUAACGAGCGCAACCCUUAUCGUUAGUUGCCAGCUGGUAAAGCAGGGGACUCUAGCGAAACUGCCACCGUAAGGUGAGAGGAAGGUGGGGAUGACGUCAAAUCAUCAUGCCCCUUAUGUUCUGGGCCACACACGUGCUACAAUGGCCGGUACAGACGGAGGCGAAGCCGCGAGGCGGAGCAAAUCCGAAAAAGCCGGUCUCAGUUCGGAUUGCAGGCUGCAAUUCGCCUGCAUGAAGUCGGAAUCGCUAGUAAUCGCAGGUCAGCAUACUGCGGUGAAUACGUUCCCGGGCCUU
Molecule: ribosomal RNA, 432 nt
Filed under: uncultured Sphingobacteriales bacterium
Lineage: Bacteria; Pseudomonadati; Bacteroidota; Sphingobacteriia; Sphingobacteriales
Description: bacterial SSU rRNA
Rfam family: Bacterial small subunit ribosomal RNA
Source: RNAcentral